RNAcentral lists this long non-coding RNA (249 nucleotides) under Arabidopsis lyrata. Its description in RNAcentral is "long non-coding RNA (ALYR_LNC001778)". Lineage: Eukaryota; Viridiplantae; Streptophyta; Magnoliopsida; Brassicales; Brassicaceae. The record is from RNAcentral.
UGUUAUUGACAAAUAAAGAACAAAAGAAAGAAAAGUAAUAACAUUAGUUAACAAGGAAGCCCUUCAACAACCAAAUUAAUAAAUGACUCUUUCCUUAAAAAUGCAUAAGUCCAAAAGACAUCAAAAACCUCGCAUUCUUCAAUCAAGAUUACUGCUUGGCUUCAUUUGUGCAAAAUCAUCGGUUUUUAUUUUAAUUUCACACGUAGAAAUAAUCUCUUUUGACGUCACAUUUAAAACAUCAAACAAUUA